CCUACGGGAGGCAGCAGUGGGGGAUAUUGCACAAUGGGGGGAACCCUGAUGCAGCGACGCCGCGUGUGUGAAGGAGUGCUUCGGCAUGUAAAGUCCUAUCGGCAGGGAAGAAGCAAGACGGUACCUGACUAAGAAGCCCCGGCGAACUACGGGGCAGCAGCCGCGGUAAGACGUAGGGGGCGAGCGUUAUCCGGAUUCACUGGGUGUAAAGGGAUCGUAGACGGCCAUGCAAGCCAGAGGUGAAAGCCCGGGGCCCAACCCCGGGACUGCCCUUGGGACUGUGCGGCUAGAGUGCGGGAGGGGCAGGCGGAAUUCCUGGUGUAGCGGUGAAAUGCGUAGAGAUCAGGAGGAACACCGGUGGCGAAGGCGGCCUGCUGGACGGCGACUGACGUUGAGGCUCGAAAGCGUGGGGAGCGAACAGGAUUAGAUACCCCAGUAGUC
RNAcentral lists this ribosomal RNA (441 nucleotides) under uncultured bacterium. RNAcentral describes it as "partial 16S ribosomal RNA". It matches the Rfam family "Bacterial small subunit ribosomal RNA", at positions 338 to 795 of the family's 1533-position model. The record is from RNAcentral.